CCUACGGGUGGCAGCAGUGAGGAAUAUUGGUCAAUGGUCGGGAGACUGAACCAGCCAAGCCGCGUGAGGGAUGAAGGUACAGAGUAUCGUAAACCUCUUUUGUCAGGGAACAAAGGCGGGGACGUGUCCCCGGAUGAGUGUACCUGAAGAAAAAGCAUCGGCUGACUCCGUGCCAGCAGCCGCGGUAAUACGGAGGAUGCGAGCGUUAUCCGGAUUUAUGGGGGUUAAGGGGUGCGCAGGCGGUCUGUUAAGUCAGCGUGAAAAGCCCGGGGCUCAACCCCGGCCCGCCGUUGAAACUGGCAGUCUCGAGUUGGAGAGAAGUAUGCGGAAUGCGUGGUGUAGCGGUGAAAUGCAUAGAUAUCGCGCAGAACUCCGAUUGCGAAGGCAGCAUGCCGGCUCCACACUGACGCUGAGGCACGAAAGCGUGGGUAUCGAACAGGAUUAGAUACCCCAGUAGUC
This 459-nucleotide ribosomal RNA is filed under the name uncultured bacterium. Its description in RNAcentral is "partial 16S ribosomal RNA". It matches the Rfam family "Bacterial small subunit ribosomal RNA", at positions 338 to 795 of the family's 1533-position model. The record is from RNAcentral.